This 721-nucleotide ribosomal RNA is filed under the name Physiphora sp. YSUW04028. RNAcentral describes it as "partial 12S ribosomal RNA". The record is from RNAcentral. Lineage: Eukaryota; Metazoa; Arthropoda; Insecta; Diptera; Ulidiidae.
AUGUAAGUUUUAGCGUGAGUUUUUAUUUAUUUUAAUAAUAAAUAAUCUAUUUAAGUCGCAGUAAUUAGUAUUAUUAAUUAAAGAAAUUUAGAAAUAGUAAUUUUAGACAGCAUUGGCUAAAUUUGUGCCAGCAGCCGCGGUUAUACUAAUAAUGCAAAUGAAUUAUUAUCGGUGUGAGUUAAAUUGAUUGAGAUAAUAAAAUAAAUAUAAAUUUAUUAGGUGAAAUUUUAAAUUUAUAGAUGUUUUUAAUUAGAUAAAUUGAAGCUCGUAAAUUUUAAUAAUAAACUAGGAUUAGAUACCCUAUUAUUUAAAAUGUAAAAUUGUUACCAAGGUAGUAGUAGUUAUGUUCUUGAAACUUAAAAAAUUUGGCGGUAUUUUAGUCUAUUCAGAGGAACCUGUUCUAUAAUCGAUAAUCCACGUUGGACCUAACUUAAGCUUGUAUUUCAGUUUAUAUACCGUCGUUAUCAGAAUAUUUUAUAAGAAUAAUAAUUUUCUAGAAUUUUUAUAAAAAUUUAUAUCAGAUCAAGGUGUAGCUUAUGUUUAAGUAGAAAUGGGUUACAAUAAAUUUAUUUAUACGGAUUUAAAUUUGAAAUUUUUUAAUGAAGGUGGAUUUGAUAGUAAAAUUAUAAAGAUAAUUAAUUUGAUUUUAGCUCUAAAAUAUGCACACAUCGCCCGUCGCUCUUAUUAUUAAGGUAAGAUAAGUCGUAACAUAGUAGAUGUA